GCCAAAUGCUUCAAGAACUGGAUUGGAUUCUAGAACUUGCUGUUCAACAGUUCGCCCUUCCACCCCAGCCCGACCACCCAAGUGUGCAAGAUAUCGCAUGAGCAUCUUUGUUGUCUCAGUCUUACCAGCACCACUUUCUCCACUAACUAGAAUUGAGUUGCUCUUUCCCUCAUUGAUCAUUGCCCUGUAUGCAACAUCUGCAACUGCAAAAACAUGAGGGCUUAGCUCCCCAAAUUGAGCACCUUUAUAUUGUUCCAUCAUGUGAGUAUCAUACAGAUGUGGUAAUCUUUGAAAUGGGUUUAUAGCAAUCAGUAUAUUUCCAGUGUACGUAUAGAUUUCAUUAAGUUCAUAUCUGGUAGCCAAGUUAUGCAAAACUCCAGGUUCAUGCAAAUAUGACAACUUUGUCAUGUCAUCUACACCCCCUGGAGGAGCUUCAGUAUCCUUGGGGAACACUUUGGAUAUAUUUGCAACAACUGUUUUCCCAUUUGUGGUACGAACACGAACUUCUUCACCGUUUAUUUUAAAAACUUCACCAUCUAUCCAUGCCUCUGCUGCAUCUUCAACCCAUACAUGAGAACCUACUAUAAUGUUCACUGGUGCGGCCAUGGCGAUCCAACACUGCGAUCUUCUUUCUCUUUCAACUCAUUAGAAGAAAGACCAAGUCGAUGCGAAAUGAGACUCAGUGAGACGGAUCGGGAAGAAUAAGACUCGGUAGGUUUUGUCUUUGUGAGUUCCAACGCUAGAACUUCCCUUCUUCUUCGUCUUCGACGGACAAAAAAGAAAGCGGCGGUUGAAUUGAAUUUGAGCUGGAGAUGAAGAUGAUAACCACAAGCAAACAAAAGUUUUUUCAAGGAUUUCGCCCCCUUUUCAAAGCUUUUGUUUUUUUUGAAAUAUUAAACUACUUCAAAAAAUGAGAUUAAGGGAAGCUUAUAUAUCAAAAAG
Molecule: unclassified non-coding RNA, 942 nt
Filed under: Hevea brasiliensis (rubber tree)
Lineage: Eukaryota; Viridiplantae; Streptophyta; Magnoliopsida; Malpighiales; Euphorbiaceae
Source: RNAcentral